Molecule: non-coding RNA, 99 nt
Organism: Acanthosepion pharaonis
Lineage: Eukaryota; Metazoa; Mollusca; Cephalopoda; Sepiida; Sepiidae
Source: the annotation of a GenBank genome assembly
AUUGAGACACUGGUUCCCAUAUGAUCACCAAAGUUAAGCAACAUUGAGCCUGGUCAGUACCUAGAUGGGUGACCACUUGAAAAUACCAGAUGCUGUAAG